RNAcentral lists this ribosomal RNA (484 nucleotides) under uncultured bacterium. Its description in RNAcentral is "partial 16S ribosomal RNA". It matches the Rfam family "Bacterial small subunit ribosomal RNA", at positions 30 to 507 of the family's 1533-position model. The record is from RNAcentral.
AUUGAACGCUGGCGGCAGGCCUAACACAUGCAAGUCGAGCGGAUGAAGGGAGCUUGCUCCUGGCUUCAGCGGCGGACGGGUGAGUAAUGCCUAGGAAUCUGCCUGGUAGUGGGGGAUAACGUCCGUACACGGGCGCUAAUACCGCAUACGUCCUGAGGGAGAACGUGGGGGAUCUUCGGACCUCACGCUAUCAGAUGAGCCUAGGUCGGAUUAGCUAGUUGGUGGGGUAAAGGCCUACCAAGGCGACGAUCCGUAACUGGUCUGAGAGGAUGAUCAGUCACACUGGAACUGAGACACGGUCCAGACUCCUACGGGAGGCAGCAGCGGGGAAUAUUGGACAAUGGGCGAAAGCCUGAUCCAGCCAUGCCGCGUGUGUGAAGAAGGUCUUCGGAUUGUAAAGCACUUUAAGUUGGGAGGAAGGGCAGUAAGUUAAUACCUUGCUGUUUUGACGGUACCAACAGAAUAAGCACCGGCUAACUACGUG